This is a long non-coding RNA of Stomoxys calcitrans (stable fly), 1227 nucleotides long. RefSeq lists it as uncharacterized. The transcript has 2 exons. The record is from RefSeq and is a predicted model, not a curated record. NCBI's taxonomy places the organism in Eukaryota, Metazoa, Arthropoda, Insecta, Diptera, Muscidae.
GAACGAAGAGGUUCUAAAAACCAUCUUACAGUCUUUUCAAGAGGCUGGUCAACAAAUGAAAAAGACACUCGAAGAAAAUGUGUCUUCUCUAAAGAAGGUUUUAAAAAAUUAAACCUCUCAUAGACGUGCGAUUGCAGUAUUCAGGAAGUUCGACAAGGCUUUAGAAAAAUUACCAUCAUAUGUCCAGCAAAUGAGAAAACACUUCGUGGCGAAUAAUGUUACCAAAGAUGACGUUAAGCGUGCUUGUUUUCUUGUGUAGAUUUCCACAGGAACUUUUGAGCUUCUCCAAAAAAUUUGCAACGGCAAAGUUCAUGAGAUUUCAUUUGAGGAAAUGAUGAGCAUGUUAAAUGAACAUUAUGUCCAAAAGAAGGUUGUGGCGAAUCCCAAGUGGACACAAACAUAAGAGACGGUGAUAAGACACAACAUGAUAAAGUGAGAAGCGCUGCGCUGCAGAAAGCUAACCCUACUUUGGAGGAAGUUUUGCCAAUAGCUUCAAUUUAUGAAUCACCGUCAAAAACAUGUCAAGAGUUGAAAGGGGAGGAAAGGAGCACGGAAGUCAAUUCUAUUUAGAAAUCAAGAAAAUACUUUCGUCGGUUCAGGGAGACCUAGUGGUAAAUUUGAAAAGAAAAGGGAAUAUAUUGAUAAAACAUGCCCUGGAUGAGAUAAAGGUCAUAGUCGAAAAAAUUGUUACUAUUAAAAGAACAAAUCAAAGUGCCGUAUAUGUUUCAAAUCGGGCUACAUAGCUGCAGUGUGCCAAAAUGGGAAUGAAACGAAAAACGGAGGCGAGGUUAAAGAAAGAGUUAAUGAGGUGAGCGAGCAUGAAGGUUUAAAUAAAUUUGAGGCUAUCGGUUCUGUGGAUGCGGUGGAAACAAAGGGAGAGAGUGAUGAGAUUCAAAAAGAGCGUGAGUACAAAAAAGGUGUAUAUGUGUUGGAUACAGGCGCGGAAUCCACGUUAAUUGGGCUUGUUACCUACAAAAGUUUAGGUCAAAGUGUGAAACGACUGAUAGUAUAUUGAGAGCGUACGGUGGUGGCCGCGUAAAUAUUAAAGGUAGAAUAAAAGUAGUUUACGGUGGAAUAUUAUGGUAAAACAACUGCCUGCGUUGGUAGUGGAUUGUAAAACUUCACAAAAUAUGUUGGGUUGUGACUGGCUGGAAAAGCUGGCAAUUGAAAUUAAAUUUUCGAAAUCAAAUGUUUUAAUAAAUAACAACAAUUUGGUAUGUAAUACAA